CAGCCCACACCCUAGCUCAGAUACCAUCGCACCCCUCCUCCCUCGUCCCCAUCUCCUCCUGCCGCCGCCACCUCCUCCCGUCCCCAGCCACUCCCAAUCCAGUCCUCUCCCCGCUGCUUCCACCCACCGUCGACCUCACCGACCUCCUCACCCACCGCCGCCGACCUCGUCCCUCCCUCCCCUCACCAUCUCUCCCUACCCUAUUCCCCAGAUCGAGUCGACCAGGCGCUAGGGUUCCGUCCCUCCGCCCCUCUCCUACUCCCCUCCCAUCUCCGCCCCCUCCCUGCUCCCUCCCAUGGCUAACCCCUUCGCCUCCCCUCUCCUCCUCGCUUCCCCGCUCCCCCUCCGGGCCCCGAUCUUCCCGCCCCACCCGUCGGCGCUGGUGGAGGAGGCCGCCACCACGGCCGUGGAGGAGUACGAGGCACCUCUGCUGAGGCUUCUCCGACCAUAUAGGCGAGCUAGUGCUUCCCCCCUCUCGCUGUCGUCUUCUUCCCUCGUCGUCCACUGCCUUCGGGAUCUGCCUACGGAAUGAAGGCGGCAGACCACACCAGUUCUCUGUAGGCGGCGAUUCGAUGAAUGCUUCAGACCAUCCUUCCAAGCCUCGGCAAGCUAGACAGGUGGAUUCGCCAAGCAGGGCCCUCCGGCGAGGUGGAGGGCUGAGGGACGAGAUCGAGCAAGUCGACGGGGUCGUCUCCGCCGUGAACGACAGGGUUACCCGAAACAAGUUAGUGGCCAGAUCCCUCGCAGCCCUCAAGCAGAUGCUCUACGACGCCGAUGACACGGUCGACGAGCUCGACUGCUACAGUUUUCAGCAGGAGCUCCAUGCCCGUGGAGGCCCAUGGCAUUGGCACCAUCCCAACAAAAUUGAUGGACGAAGUAACCAACUGCCAAGUACUUCAAGGAAACUAAAUGCUUUACAAUACUCCAAAUAGCCAAUGCGACUCUGUUUUUAAGACCUUUUGCACAUUUAUAAGACCCUGUUUUUAUACAUCUGUGUAAACAGUCCAAUGUGAUUCUAACUGAUGAUAGUUCAUCUAGAAGAAAAAGGAGAAGGGGCAACAUGGAGAAAGACGCGGUGCUGGUGUGCAUGAUCUUGGGCUUUCUAGGCUCCGUCGCGGUCACCCUCGGCUUCGUCGCCAACAACUAUAGCUCCAAGUCCGUGGAGUACCACGGGAUGACUGCGUGUACCUGAGCCCACUAGCGACGGGUCUCGGCAUCCUGGGUGUGUUCCUGGUGUUCAUCAACCAGGUCAUCGUCGCCGGCUACGCCAGCGGCUGGUGCCUCUGCCUGUGUUGCUGCUGCCCCUACUGGAUCAAGCGCUGCCGGCUGGCGCCAACACCGUCCAAGUGGAACCCAGUCGUAAAGAGCUAUGUGAGCCCUCCUGGAAGGGGCUUCAGUUGGACCUCUGAUUAAUCUCCCCAUAGACUUUGACCCUAGCAUCCCCGUGAUAGGGUUUGUCGGAACCGCCAUUGCCUUAGGGUGCUUCUCCAGCACCGCCAUCAUCGCCAAUCGCAGGGAAUACUUAUACAUCGGUGGCCUGACCUCUUCUGGCAUGUCGAUCCUUCGACAUGAAACUGUAUACUAUCUCAAGAACGUAGGUGACAAGAAGAGGAAGAGGAGGUCCUAAACGUUUCUCCCGCACAUCGUACAUACCACAACCGCGGCCUUGUAGGAAUUAAGCUGGCGCUGUGCCACCCUUGUGUAUCUGUUUUUGAUUGUAUGUGCACUUGUUGGACGUGCAUACAUGUAUUUGCUCUUGGGAGUAUUUGACUGGAUGAUCUCUGGAUUUAAUCAGUUAAUUGACAG
This 1806-nucleotide ribosomal RNA is filed under the name Triticum aestivum (bread wheat). RNAcentral's name for it is "partial small subunit ribosomal RNA". The record is from RNAcentral. Lineage: Eukaryota; Viridiplantae; Streptophyta; Magnoliopsida; Poales; Poaceae.